AGACAGCAGUAGCCGCGGUAAUACGGAGGGUGCAAGCGUUAAUCGGAAUUACUGGGCGUAAAGCGCACGCAGGCGGUCUGACAAGUCAGAUGUGAAAUCCCCGGGCUUAACCUGGGAACUGCAUUUGAAACUGUCAGGCUGGAGUCUUGUAGAGGGGGGUAGAAUUCCAGGUGUAGCGGUGAAAUGCGUAGAGAUCUGGAGGAAUACCGGUGGCGAAGGCGGCCCCCUGGACAAAGACUGACGCUCAGGUGCGAAAGCGUGGGGAGCAAACAGGAUUAGAUACCCGAGUAGUCCCUGUCUCUUAUAC
RNAcentral lists this ribosomal RNA (307 nucleotides) under uncultured bacterium. RNAcentral's name for it is "partial 16S ribosomal RNA". It matches the Rfam family "Bacterial small subunit ribosomal RNA", at positions 506 to 807 of the family's 1533-position model. The record is from RNAcentral.